Molecule: transfer RNA, 75 nt
Filed under: Candidatus Azambacteria bacterium RIFCSPLOWO2_01_FULL_37_9
Lineage: Bacteria; Candidatus Azamiibacteriota
Description: tRNA-Arg
Rfam family: tRNA
About the family: Transfer RNA (tRNA) molecules are approximately 80 nucleotides in length. Their secondary structure includes four short double-helical elements and three loops (D, anti-codon, and T loops).
Source: RNAcentral
GUCCUCAUAGUUCAAUGGAUAGAACACCAGCCUUCUAAGCUGGAUAUGUAGGUUCAAUUCCUACUGAGGACACCA